GGGCGCCUCGGCGCCGCGGCGCGGGUGCCCCCGCCCCGAGCUCCGCGCGCGCCCCGCGCGGCUGGAUGGACUCUCGGGGCUCGCGCUGUCGAGAUCCACUUGUCAGUUCAAGGGCAGGACAGAAACUCUGCAAGCGGAGUCUUGCGAACAGGAAAUUUCUCAUUGACAAGCUCUCCAAUCAUGUCCUUCUGGGGUCGUCCUGGCAACUCACCAACUGCAGUAAAUAUCGCGAAAGGAGUUUGUCUCUUUCUGGGAUCAGCAGGUCUCAGCUGAUCCGUUACGUUCACCAUGGGAAUCUAAGAAUUUAUCAUCUGAGUGAAGAGUUGCCUUCCUCCCAGUAAUGAUUUAAGGCUGCUUCCAAAGAUACACAAAACCCAGCAAAGAUAAAUAGAAGUGGGACAUGAGUUAUAAUGUCAUGCCUGCUCACACACCUUUGCCCCAGUCCACAUAGGAGGACUGAAUUUAUAACGCCUUUCAAAAAUGAGGGCUUCUCCAAGUUUUUCUCGAAGGAUUCCACCGGCCAGACAGGGCUCUGGAAGCUCAGCCCUCAAGACUUGCCGCACGUGGGAGGCUGCUGGGAGACCGUUUUGAAAAUGCAAGCACACACAGCAACAAGGACGCAUCCCACAAAUGAAACGUUCCGCAAAAGAAGUCUGCCUCAAACGACUGUGCACAAUAGUGUUCCAUUUACAUCAAGUUUUAAAGGGGGCCAAGCCAAUCGAAGGUGUCAGAAGCCAGUGUAGGGGCUACGUGGAGGAAGGGGGACAAUGGAGAGGGGCAUACCCCUUGGGAGGGGGCGCAAGGGGGACUUCUGGGGGGCUGGGCAUACUCUGCACCUUGAUUUGGAUGCUGGCUACACGGGUGUGCUCAGCUUGUAAAAAUUCAUCAAGCUGUACAUUUAGGAUUUAUACACCUUUCUGUCUGCGUGCUGCACGUCGAUAAAAUGUUAACAAAAUAAAAA
This 961-nucleotide long non-coding RNA is filed under the name Equus asinus (donkey). Its description in RNAcentral is "lncRNA (ENSEASG00005036775.1)". Lineage: Eukaryota; Metazoa; Chordata; Mammalia; Perissodactyla; Equidae. The record is from RNAcentral.